RNAcentral lists this non-coding RNA (596 nucleotides) under Hexacyrtis dickiana. RNAcentral's name for it is "partial transfer RNA-Leu". The stretch from base 1 to 216 matches the Rfam family "Group I catalytic intron". The record is from RNAcentral. Lineage: Eukaryota; Viridiplantae; Streptophyta; Magnoliopsida; Liliales; Colchicaceae.
GACUUGAUUAGAUUGAGCCUUGGUAUGGAAACCUGCUAAGUGGUAACUUCCAAAUUCAGAGAAACCCUGGAAUUAAAAAUGGGCAAUCCUGAGCCAAAUCUUUAUGUUAAGAAAACAAAGGAUAGGUGCAGAGACUCAAUGGAAGCUGUUCUAACAAAUGGAAUUGACGUUGACUACGUUGCGUUGGUAGCUGGAAUCCCUCUAUCGAAAUUACAGAAAGGAUGACCCUAUAUGCGUGUAUAUACAUACUGACAUAUCAAACGAUUAAUCACAACUCGAAUCCGGAAUCCAUAUUAUUAACUAUAUAUAUAUUAUUAUAUAUUUUUUUAUAUAUUUUAUUUUCUUUUUAUUUUAAUAAAGAUCCAUUUUUUUAUAAAUUUUUAGAUUAAUUAAGAGUUAUUAUAAAUAUAUUCCAGUCGAAGUUGAAGGAAGAAUCAAAUAUUCAGUGAUCAAAUCAUUCAUUCCGGAGUCGGAUAGAUCUUUUGAAAAAAUGAUUAAUCGGACGAGAAUAAAGAGAGAGUCCUGUUCUACGUGUCAAUACCGACAGCAAUGAAAUUUAUAGUAUUAGGAAAAUCCGUCGACUUUAGAAAUCGUGA